GAUGAACGCUGGCGGCGUGCCUAAUACAUGCAAGUCGAGCGAACGGACGAGAAGCUUGCUUCUCUGAUGUUAGCGGCGGACGGGUGAGUAACACGUGGAUAACCUACCUAUAAGACUGGGAUAACUUCGGGAAACCGUAGCUAAUACCGGCUAAUAUUUUGAACCGCAUGGUUCAAAAGUGAAAGACGGUCUUGCUGUCACUUAUCGAUGGAUCCGCGCUGCAUUAGCUAGUUGGUAAGGUAACGGCUUACCAAGGCAACGAUGCAUAGCCGACCUGAGAGGGUGAUCGGCCACACUGGAACUGAGACACGGUCCAGACUCCUACGGGAGGCAGCAGUGGGGAAUCUUCCGCAAUGGGCGAAAGCCUGACGGAGCAACGCCGCGUGAGUGAUGAAGGUCUUCGGAUCGUAAAACUCUGUUAUUAGGGAAGAACAUAUGUGUAAGUAACUGUGCACAUCUUGACGGUACCUAAUCAGGAAGCCACGGCUAACUACGUG
This 497-nucleotide ribosomal RNA is filed under the name uncultured bacterium. Its description in RNAcentral is "partial 16S ribosomal RNA". It matches the Rfam family "Bacterial small subunit ribosomal RNA", at positions 28 to 507 of the family's 1533-position model. The record is from RNAcentral.